Molecule: long non-coding RNA, 650 nt
Organism: Ictalurus punctatus (channel catfish)
Lineage: Eukaryota; Metazoa; Chordata; Actinopteri; Siluriformes; Ictaluridae
Source: Ensembl
GGGACUGCAAAACAAAGUGGAGAACUUCAUUCAGAAGAAACGCUUGCGCUUGUUCACUAAUUUCACGGCAACUAUUCUGCUGGAUUGACAACUGGAUUGAACUGAACAUGGAUGAGGAUGACAUCGCAGGAUGGAGGAGGAGACUAGGAGGGAGCUGGAUGAGAUGAGAGUGAAGGACCCCGUAAAAGGGAUGGUGGCUCUUGAAGAUUGAAUCUUCUGUAUAUAGACGGAGUGUGCUACAAUUUUUAUUGGUGUGUAACAGAGGUGCCGGCUGCAUUGCCGUAUUGUGAAAUUAUAGGCUUCCCAUGUCGUCACUUGUUAGGAAAAAUUCCCUCGAAAUAUACAUUAUAAAUGACUUAAUUCUACUUAAUGAGUGGCCUCAUGUUACACAGUUGUGAGUUUGAAAAUUUCUCAUCCUUCAUCUUUCUCCUCGUACUUCUUGAUAAGUAAUGUAAUCUAAGUUACAAUCUCUCUCACUCUCUCUCUAGCACUCAUUUAUAUAAAUAUUAGACAUCAGCUUCAUCAAAUUGGAAGAAUUCAUAAAUGAAAAUAACCAGGCUGAUAAUAGAGUAUAAGAAAUAGACACACAAAAAAGAUGAAUAGCACUUAUAUAUAACAAAACAAUCAUUUCCCAUGCACCAUCACAAAAC